CCUACGGGUGGCAGCAGUGAGGAAUAUUGGUCAAUGGGCGCGAGCCUGAACCAGCUAAGUCGCGUGAGGGAAGACGGCCCUACGGGUUGUAAACCUCUUUUGCCGGGGAGCAACGGGCGCCACGUGUGGCGCCACUGAGAGUACCCGGACAAAAAGCAUCGGCUAACUCCGUGCCAGCAGCCGCGGUAAUACGGGGGUUGCGAGCGUUAUCCGGAUUUAUUGGGUUUAAAGGGUGCGUAGGCGGAGCGUUAUGUAAGUGGUCAAAUGAAGGGGCUCAACUCCUUCCCGCCAUUGAAACUGGCGCACUUGAGUGGAAGAGAAGUAUGCGGAAUGCGUGGUGUAGCGGUGAAAUGCAUAGAUAUCACGCAGAACCCCGAUUGCGAAGGCAGCAUGCCGGCUUCCGACUGACGCUGAAGCACGAAAGCGUGGGGAUCGAACAGGAUUAGAUACCCGGGUAGUC
Molecule: ribosomal RNA, 460 nt
Filed under: uncultured bacterium
Lineage: Bacteria
Description: partial 16S ribosomal RNA
Rfam family: Bacterial small subunit ribosomal RNA
Source: RNAcentral